CUAGAAUUGCCCUUUUGACCUCCAGACACACCCAUUCCCUCCCCCACACACAUAUGUUAAUUCUACAUUAUAAAUGUAUGUACUUCCUGUAAUGUUUGAGAAGAUGAAGCAAGGAGACCAAGCCGUGAGCAGACGUGCCUAGCGCAUGCUCGUGCUGCGCCGAGCUGACCGUGGCUAGUGACUGAAUAAAACACAUUCUUUCUCUAAGCCGUCUUCUACAAGUCUGUUAUUCCUGAACAACUAACUAGAACCAAAGUGUGGGCAUCCGACGAAUUCGACGGAGGACAGCGAGAUCUUUCAUUAAAGAGGGAGAGAGAUAGAGACAGAGAGAGAAAGAGAAAGGUCCUUGUUGGCCCCUCCACCUCACCCCUAGACCCAUUUGAACUAUCCUGCUCCUCUGAAACUCUUGGAAAUAAUGUGUCAGCACCAGGGGCGGCUCGUCCAUAAGGGCGAUUGGGGCGACGCACUGCCUAGGAAUUUUUUUUUUUUUUUUAAAAACUCCUUAUGUAUAAACUAGUGCUGUCAAGCGAUUAAAAUAUUUAAUCGCGAUUAAUCGCAUUUAUGUCAUAGUUAACUCAAAAUGAAUCGCGAUUAAUCGAAAUUUUUUAUCUAUUCUAAAUAUUUUCCAUCAUUUUAUUAUCAACAUGGAAAAGUGGAUUGGCUUGCUUUAUGCAAAUGUUUUAUUUAAUUGAAAACCAACAUUGCCAAAUAGGGCGGUACAAAGUAAAAUUAUAACGUGCACAUUUCAGGUAAACAACAAGGACUCAGCCUAUAGUGCAGUUAAACCAUGGCUUAAUAUUGUAUUUUUUUUUUCAAGUUUGCUGGGAACAUAGCAGUCAGGCCUCUUCUUUCAGAAACAAUGAACCGUAACAGUUAGGUUACCAAUAAAAGGUAAGCCUACUACUUCUUUGCUUUCAGCCAGCUGCCUGUUGACAUUUUCAGACAACAGUGAAGCUUGCUUCUUUUGCAGAACACAACUUUUAAAAGUAAACUUUCCAUUCAGAAGCUUUUUAUCAUCCAUUUCGCCGUAUGGCGCUCAGCAUUCACUCAAACCGUAACGUUAGCCUACUACACAGUUUGCGAGGCCAAAAAGAACGU
Long non-coding RNA from Clupea harengus (Atlantic herring), 1098 nucleotides. The record is from Ensembl. NCBI's taxonomy places the organism in Eukaryota, Metazoa, Chordata, Actinopteri, Clupeiformes, Clupeidae.